Molecule: long non-coding RNA, 329 nt
Organism: Magnolia sinica
Lineage: Eukaryota; Viridiplantae; Streptophyta; Magnoliopsida; Magnoliales; Magnoliaceae
Exons: 3
Source: RefSeq, a predicted model, not a curated record
UCUUUAAAUGUUCUAAUAUUGUCGGAUGCACACAAGAGGAUUCCCUUACUGACUAAAAGAGGUUGAGAACAUUAUGUUUCGUACCGAUAAUCCACCAUUCAAGUAUCAUAUGGAGAAGUUUACAAAGAUGAUUGUGCACAUGAUGAAGAGAGAGAAGUUAUAUGCAUCUUAGGGCGGUCCUAUUAUCCUAUCACAGAUUGAAAACAAAUAUAACAUUAUCGAGCUUGCAUUUAAGGAGAAGGGAGCAUCUUAUGUUUAAGGGAUCGGAAACAUGGAAGUUGGGCUAAAGACUGGAGUGCCAUGGGUGAUGUGUAAGCAAAGAGAUGCCC